RNAcentral lists this ribosomal RNA (216 nucleotides) under Glomeromycotina sp. Its description in RNAcentral is "partial small subunit ribosomal RNA". The stretch from base 44 to 216 matches the Rfam family "Eukaryotic small subunit ribosomal RNA", at positions 690 to 864 of the family's 1831-position model. Lineage: Eukaryota; Fungi; Glomeromycota. The record is from RNAcentral.
GGGUCAGUAGGUUGGUCGUGCCACCGGUACGUACUGGUCUCACUGAUUCCUCCUUCCUGAAGAACCGUAAUGCCAUUAAUUUGGUGUUGCGGGGAAACAGGACUGUUACUUUGAAAAAAUUAGAGUGUUUAAAGCAAGCUAACGCUUGAAUACACUAGCCUGGAAUAAUGAAAUAGGACGAUCGAUCCUAUUUUGUUGGUUUCUAGGAUUGACGUA